AACGGGGGGGACCAGUGUUAAUCAUAAUGAUUGGGCGUAAAGGGUGUGUAGACGGCCUAGUAAGACGGAAGAUAAAGACCACAUGAGGUGUGGAAAGCUUUAGUAACUGCUACGGCUAGGAUAGAUCGGGAGAGGGUAGUACUCAGCGAGGAGAUGGGAACAUUGAAGAUACGAAGAGGACUCACGAGGGCGAAGGCAACCAUCUACGAUCGAUCGACGUUGAGACACGGAGGCAUGGGGAGCGAACAGG
Molecule: ribosomal RNA, 250 nt
Filed under: uncultured bacterium
Lineage: Bacteria
Description: partial 16S ribosomal RNA
Rfam family: Bacterial small subunit ribosomal RNA
Source: RNAcentral